GACGAACGCUGGCGGCGUGCCUAAUACAUGCCAGUAGAACGCUGAAGAGGGGAGCUUGCUCUUCUUGGAUGAGUUGCGAACGGGUGAGUAACGCGUAGGUAACCUGCCUUGUAGCGGGGGAUAACUAUUGGAAACGAUAGCUAAUACCGCAUAACAAUGGAUGACACAUGUCAUUUAUUUGAAAGGGGCAAUUGCUCCACUACAAGAUGGACCUGCGUUGUAUUAGCUAGUAGGUGAGGUAAUGGCUCACCUAGGCGACGAUACAUAGCCGACCUGAGAGGGUGAUCGGCCACACUGGGACUGGGACACGGCCCAGACUCCUACGGGAGGCAGCAGUAGGGAAUCUUCGGCAAAGGGGGCAACCCUGACCGGGCAACGCCGCGUGGGUGAAGAAGGGUUUCGGAUCGUAAAGCUCUGUUGUAAGUCGAGAACGGGUGUGAGAGUGGAAAGUGCACACUGUGACGGUAGCUUACCAGAAAGGGACGGCUAACUACGUG
Molecule: ribosomal RNA, 497 nt
Filed under: uncultured bacterium
Lineage: Bacteria
Description: partial 16S ribosomal RNA
Rfam family: Bacterial small subunit ribosomal RNA
Source: RNAcentral